GACGAACGCUGGCGGCGUGCCUAAUACAUGCAAGUAGAACGCUGAAGGAGGAGCUUGCUUCUCUGGAUGAGUUGCGAACGGGUGAGUAACGCGUAGGUAACCUGCCUGGUAGCGGGGGAUAACUAUUGGAAACGAUAGCUAAUACCGCAUAAGAGUAGAUGUUGCAUGACAUUUGCUUAAAAGGUGCAAUUGCAUCACUACCAGAUGGACCUGCGUUGUAUUAGCUAGUUGGUGGGGUAACGGCUCACCAAGGCGACGAUACAUAGCCGACCUGAGAGGGUGAUCGGCCACACUGGGACUGAGACACGGCCCAGACUCCUCCGGGAGGCAGCAGUAGGGAAUCUUCGGCAAUGGACGGAAGUCUGACCGAGCAACGCCGCGUGAGUGAAGAAGGUUUUCGGAUCGUAAAGCUCUGUUGUAAGAGAAGAACGAGUGUGAGAGUGGAAAGUUCACACUGUGACGGUAUCUUACCAGAAAGAGACGGCUAACUACGUG
Molecule: ribosomal RNA, 495 nt
Filed under: uncultured bacterium
Lineage: Bacteria
Description: partial 16S ribosomal RNA
Rfam family: Bacterial small subunit ribosomal RNA
Source: RNAcentral